GAAACGCGAUAGUUAAUGUGAAUUGCAGAAUUUAGUGAAUCAUCGAAUCUUUGAACGCACCUUGCGCUCCUUGGUAUUCCUUGGAGCAUGCCUGUUUGAGUAUCAUGAAAUCUUCAAAGUAAAUCUUUUGUUAACUCAAUUGGUUUCUACUUUGGUAUUGGAGGUCUUUGCAGCUUCACACCUGCUCCUCUUUGUUCAUUAGCUGGAUCUCAGUGUUAUGCUUGGUUCCACUCGGCGUGAUAAGUUAUCUAUCGCUGAGGACACUGUAAAAGGUGGCCAAGGUAAAUGCAGAUGAACCGCUUCUAAUAGUCCAUUGACUUGGACAAUACUUUUAUGAUCUGAUCUCAAAUCAGGUAGGACUACCCGCUGAACUUAAGC
Molecule: unclassified non-coding RNA, 378 nt
Filed under: plant metagenome
Description: partial contains 5.8S ribosomal RNA, internal transcribed spacer 2, and large subunit ribosomal RNA
Rfam family: 5.8S ribosomal RNA (bases 1-105)
Source: RNAcentral